This 229-nucleotide unclassified non-coding RNA is filed under the name plant metagenome. RNAcentral describes it as "partial contains small subunit ribosomal RNA, internal transcribed spacer 1, and 5.8S ribosomal RNA". The record is from RNAcentral.
UCUCCGUAGGUGAACCUGCGGAGGGAUCAUUACAGAGUUCUCGCCCUCGCGGGUAGAUCUCCCACCCACUGUUAUCGUUACUGUGUUGCUUUGGCGGGCCGCCGGGCCCCGCUCGGCCGCCGGCUCCGGCUGGCGCGCGCCCGCCAGAGGCCCAGCAAACUCCGAAUGUUAGUGUCGUCUGAGUACUAUAUAAUAGUUAAAACUUUCAACAACGGAUCACUUGGUUCUG